RNAcentral lists this long non-coding RNA (1057 nucleotides) under Capsicum annuum. RNAcentral's name for it is "long non-coding RNA (CANN_LNC011382)". The record is from RNAcentral. Lineage: Eukaryota; Viridiplantae; Streptophyta; Magnoliopsida; Solanales; Solanaceae.
UUCAUUUUACUCUUUUUUCAUUAACAAACCUCACUGCCUUUUUUUCACACCUCUAUCUUUUUUCCUUUACUAUUUUAUUUUGUUCGUCUUUAUAAUCUUUGAAUUAACUAAUUUUCUUCGCUUUCUUCCUCUUUCAAAUUUUGUCAUUGCCCUGUCACCACCGUAUUAUUUCACCGUCGUUAUUUUCAUUCAUGUUAUUUGAUAUUAAAAAAAUAAUAUUUUUUAUCCAUGAUUUAUGCUUAGCACUUGAAUCUAAAAGAAGAUAAUUAUGAUUUACUCUAAAAAGAAAAAAAUGAAUUCACCAUCGGAGUUAUAACGGCUGACAAUGGGAAGAAGAAAGAAAGAAUUGAAUGGUUGGCCUAGAAGAAAAGGAAGAGGCGGGGAGUAGAAGAUGAGGUUAAUGAGGUUUUCUUUCAUUCUUUUUAGCUAAUUGUUAAUAGAAUAAUAAAUUAUUUUAUUUUUAAUUAAAAAUUGAUUUCUUAAUUAUUAUUUUGAUCUCAUGUGUCACAUGUUAUUGCUUUAUUUUUUGUCUUUUUGUGACACCAACGUGUGAGUAUAAUAAGUAAUAAAUUUUAAAUUCAUUAUCAUUUUGUAUUUAUUAUGUAUAAAUUUUUUUUAAAUUGAAGUGUUUGAUAGAACUAAAGGUUUGUUAAGGUGUUUAUGUGAAUUUUUCGGAUAAUUUUACGGGCUUGGGAUAAUUUAAGCUAAUUACUUAUUUACUAUAUAUUUCAUUUGUUUUAAUUUUUUGUCUUAUUUUAACUAUAUAAUUUUAUAGUGUUAAAUCUAUCACAUGAAAAUUUAGAGUUUUAGACUUGCUAAAAAAGAGACAAUCAUUUUAAAAUAGAAAAAUAACAUGUAUGUCCGCAGAAGCAAACUACUUACAACUAAAUGUAAACCAUGCCCUAUUUCCUUGUAGUUUUAAUUAUUUAUCUCGUUUUUAAUUCUUUUCUUCAUUUCUUCUUCUUUUCUUUUUUUAUUUGUGCUUCUUUUUUUUUUUUCUUUAUAUGCUUUUUUGUUCAUUUAUUUUUUUCUCAAAUUAUUUUAUUCUUUAUUUUCU